GAGUUUGAUUAUGGCUCAGAUUGAACGCUGGCGGCAUGCUUUACACAUGCAAGUCGAACGGCAGCACGGGUGCUUGCACCUGGUGGCGAGUGGCGAACGGGUGAGUAAUGCAUUGGAACGUACCGGGUAAUGGGGGAUAACUUGCCGAAAGGUAAGCUAAUACCGCAUACGCUCUUAGGAGGAAAGCGGGGGAUCUUCGGACCUCGCGUUAUCCGAGCGGCCAAUGUCUGAUUAGCUAGUUGGUGGGGUAAGGGCCUACCAAGGCGACGAUCAGUAGCGGGUCUGAGAGGAUGAUCCGCCACACUGGGACUGAGACACGGCCCAGACUCCUACGGGAGGCAGCAGUGGGGAAUUUUGGACAAUGGGCGCAAGCCUGAUCCAGCCAUGCCGCGUGUCUGAAGAAGGCCUUCGGGUUGUAAAGGACUUUUGUACGGGAAGAAAAAGUUGUGGCUAAUACCCAUGACUGAUGACG
RNAcentral lists this ribosomal RNA (472 nucleotides) under Conchiformibius sp. canine oral taxon 286. Its description in RNAcentral is "bacterial SSU rRNA". It matches the Rfam family "Bacterial small subunit ribosomal RNA", at positions 9 to 480 of the family's 1533-position model. The record is from RNAcentral. Lineage: Bacteria; Pseudomonadati; Pseudomonadota; Betaproteobacteria; Neisseriales; Neisseriaceae.